AAAAAGUUAGUUAAGCUAUAAUAUAAGGUUGUCAGCCUUAUGUCACUAAUUAAACUUAGUACUUUUUA
RNAcentral lists this transfer RNA (68 nucleotides) under Ceratostoma fournieri. Its description in RNAcentral is "tRNA-Asp". The record is from RNAcentral. Lineage: Eukaryota; Metazoa; Mollusca; Gastropoda; Neogastropoda; Muricidae.